AACGAACGCUGGCGGCAGGCUUAACACAUGCAAGUCGAGCGCCCCGCAAGGGGAGCGGCAGACGGGUGAGUAACGCGUGGGAAUCUACCUUUUGCUACGGAAUAACGCAGGGAAACUUGUGCUAAUACCGUAUGUGUCCUUCGGGAGAAAGAUUUAUCGGCAAGAGAUGAGCCCGCGUUGGAUUAGCUAGUUGGUGGGGUAAAGGCCUACCAAGGCGACGAUCCAUAGCUGGUCUGAGAGGAUGAUCAGCCACAUUGGGACUGAGACACGGCCCAAACUCCUACGGGAGGCAGCAGUGGGGAAUAUUGGACAAUGGGCGCAAGCCUGAUCCAGCCAUGCCGCGUGAGUGAUGAAGGCCCUAGGGUUGUAAAGCUCUUUCACCGGAGAAGAUAAUGACGGCAUCCGGAGAAGAAGCCCCGGCUAACUUCGUGCCAGCAGCCGCGGUAA
RNAcentral lists this ribosomal RNA (447 nucleotides) under uncultured Hyphomicrobiales bacterium. RNAcentral's name for it is "bacterial SSU rRNA". It matches the Rfam family "Bacterial small subunit ribosomal RNA", at positions 29 to 523 of the family's 1533-position model. The record is from RNAcentral. Lineage: Bacteria; Pseudomonadati; Pseudomonadota; Alphaproteobacteria; Hyphomicrobiales.